AGGGAUUGACGACUGAGGGCCUCCAAAAUCUACUGUUAGAUAUUUUCAAAAUGCCAUCGAUGCCCCGAAGGAGUGAACGUGAAAGAUCUCCAGAUGCCAACAAUUGGGGGUCGUUCUUGUUUUCGGUGAUAUGGUCGUAUGUUGUGCUUGCAUUAUUUGGUUUUUUUUUGUUAGUGGUAACCCCAUUUGUAAGUGCAAUUGGAUAUUCAAGUGGAAAUUUGCCAAUACCUACGGGUAAAUUGAGAAUACCGCCGGAUUAAAUUGAGAAUAUCUACGGGUAAAUUGAAAAUACCGUCGGGAAAAUUGAGAAUACCGCC
Molecule: long non-coding RNA, 317 nt
Filed under: Salvia miltiorrhiza (redroot sage)
Lineage: Eukaryota; Viridiplantae; Streptophyta; Magnoliopsida; Lamiales; Lamiaceae
Description: long non-coding RNA (SMIL_LNC002156)
Source: RNAcentral